UACGAAGGGGGCUAGCGUUGCUCGGAAUUACUGGGCGUAAAGGGCGCGUAGGCGGACAGUUUAGUCAGAGGUGAAAGCCCAGGGCUCAACCUUGGAAUAGCCUUUGAUACUGACUGUCUUGAGUUCGGGAGAGGUGAGUGGAAUGCCGAGUGUAGAGGUGAAAUUCGUAGAUAUUCGGUGGAACACCAGUGGCGAAGGCGACUCACUGGCCCGAUACUGACGCUGAGGCGCGAAAGCGUGGGGAGCAAACAGG
This 253-nucleotide ribosomal RNA is filed under the name uncultured bacterium. RNAcentral's name for it is "partial 16S ribosomal RNA". It matches the Rfam family "Bacterial small subunit ribosomal RNA", at positions 524 to 776 of the family's 1533-position model. The record is from RNAcentral.